This 274-nucleotide unclassified non-coding RNA is filed under the name Hevea brasiliensis (rubber tree). Lineage: Eukaryota; Viridiplantae; Streptophyta; Magnoliopsida; Malpighiales; Euphorbiaceae. The record is from RNAcentral.
GGCAAUUAAUGGUUCUUUCAGAAAAGAGGUUUGAUAUUCUCCGUAAGCAUGGAGUUUAAUGCUCUCUGUAUUUAUAAGAGAAGAAUUCUGGACCAAAACAACCAUGAGCACCAGAAACACCUCUCCCUAUCCAUAUAGAUCCAGCAGUGAAUUUGUAAACAGGAAAUUAUCAUAAAUUGGUGCCACCAUCAAAAUAUCAGAUUACGGAUUCUCAUAAAGUUGUGUGUCCAUCUCGCUUGAACAAUAAAAAAUUGAAAGGAAAAAAGAAAGAAAC